Molecule: non-coding RNA, 209 nt
Organism: Caenorhabditis elegans
Lineage: Eukaryota; Metazoa; Nematoda; Chromadorea; Rhabditida; Rhabditidae
Source: Ensembl
UUGCAAAUUUCAAUCACUCAAUCAAAUCUUUAAUCAUCUUUGAAGCGGAGGGAGCCAGGUCACCUCGCUUCCCGCUAUCUUCUUCUUUUCAUUCAAUAUCUUCCGCGGCGGGGAGCAGUAUAAGAUAGAAUAAUUGAGUGGGCUCCCCCCCCUACAGCCUGAGGAGCUGAUGUUGUAAAAUUGACUAACCUGAGUCAUCGUUGUUGCAG